AUUGCCAUCUGCAGUGCCUGGAGGACGGGUGGAGAGGAGUGAAGAAUCUCUUUCUUUUUAAUAGAUUUUCAAGGUGGGAAAAUCAUACUGCAACUCCCAAGCAUUCGGGAACGACUGUACGUAAGACAGAAAGCACAUCUAACGUGGUGCCGGGAACACGGGACACUCUUUACCUUGCAGAUUCCUGGGUGUCGGAAGAAAAGUGCAAACACAGUGUGUAUAAGUCAUCUGGGGCUGCCUUAGCAAAAUGCCACAGACUGGGUAACUUAAACAACAGAAAUUUCUCACAGUUCUGGAGGUUAGAAGUCCAAGAUCACGAUGCUGACAAGGCUCUGCCUUCAGAACUGAGCCAAACUCCCGUGUGUCCUGGCUGCAACCUCCCACAAGCAGAUGGGAAGGGAAAAUCCCUUGAAAGAAGAAUCCACAACCACCCCACCCCCACCCCCAGCUGAACUCUCGCUUGGGUCAAGAAAGGUUCCCUGAGCAGAGCCUUCUGAAAAAUACAGCUGCCACCAACCCCCCUCCAAGGGGGUUUCCUGCAAAUUCCAGGAAGGAGACAGACUGCCCAUUCCCAUCAGCACCAAGAAAACCCCAACAGAACCUGGUAUACUUUCCCACUGAACCCCUCCCCACCCCACCCCCCUUUUGUUAAGUUGAUAUAUAAACCUUUACUCUGAGUAUUCAGCAAGUUACUCAUUGCUGAGAACUCCUACAGGCAUGUGUAAAUAAACCUUGUCU
Long non-coding RNA from Hippopotamus amphibius kiboko, 738 nucleotides. RefSeq lists it as uncharacterized. The transcript has 4 exons. The record is from RefSeq and is a predicted model, not a curated record. Lineage: Eukaryota; Metazoa; Chordata; Mammalia; Artiodactyla; Hippopotamidae.